UAGGGAAUCUUCCGCAAUGGGCGAAAGCCUGACAGAGCAACGCCGCGUGAGUGAUGAAGGUCUUCGGAUCGUAAAACUCUGUUAUUAGGGAAGAACAAAUGUGUAAGUAACUAUGCACGUCUUGACGGUACCUAAUCAGAAAGCCACGGCUAACUACGUGCCAGCAGCCGCGGUAAUACGUAGGUGGCAAGCGUUAUCCGGAAUUAUUGGGCGUAAAGCGCGCGUAGGCGGUUUUUUAAGUCUGAUGUGAAAGCCCACGGCUCAACCGUGGAGGGUCAUUGGAAACUGGAAAACUUGAGUGCAGAAGAGGAAAGUGGAAUUCCAUGUGUAGCGGUGAAAUGCGCAGAGAUAUGGAGGAACACCAGUGGCGAAGGCGACUUUCUGGUCUGUAACUGACGCUGAUGUGCGAAAGCGUGGGGAUCAAACAGG
This 429-nucleotide ribosomal RNA is filed under the name Actinomycetes bacterium. RNAcentral's name for it is "Actinobacteria bacterium partial 16S ribosomal RNA". It matches the Rfam family "Bacterial small subunit ribosomal RNA", at positions 355 to 776 of the family's 1533-position model. Lineage: Bacteria; Bacillati; Actinomycetota; Actinomycetes. The record is from RNAcentral.